CAGUCGCCGCGGGAAUACGUAGGGUGCGAGCGUUAAUCGGAAUUACUGGGCGUAAAGCGUGCGCAGGCGGUUCGUUAAGACAGAUGUGAAAUCCCCGGGCUUAACCGGGGAACUGCAUUUGUGACUGGCGAGCUAGAGUAUGGCAGAGGGGGGUAGAAUUCCACGUGUAGCAGUGAAAUGCGUAGAGAUGUGGAGGAAUACCGAUGGCGAAGGCAGCCCCCUGGGCCAAUACUGACGCUCAUGCACGAAAGCGUGGGGAGCAAACAGGAUUAGAUACCCCCGUAGUCCCUGUCUCUUAUAC
RNAcentral lists this ribosomal RNA (301 nucleotides) under uncultured bacterium. RNAcentral's name for it is "partial 16S ribosomal RNA". It matches the Rfam family "Bacterial small subunit ribosomal RNA", at positions 509 to 807 of the family's 1533-position model. The record is from RNAcentral.